Molecule: ribosomal RNA, 497 nt
Filed under: uncultured bacterium
Lineage: Bacteria
Description: partial 16S ribosomal RNA
Rfam family: Bacterial small subunit ribosomal RNA
Source: RNAcentral
GACGAACGCUGGCGGCGUGCCUAAUACAUGCAAGUUGAGCGAUGAAGAUUGGUGCUUGCACCAAUUUGAAGAGCAGCGAACGGGUGAGUAACGCGUGGGGAAUCUGCCUUUGAGCGGGGGACAACAUUUGGAAACGAAUGCUAAUACCGCAUAACAACUUUAAACAUAAGUUUUAAGUUUGAAAGAUGCAGUUGCAUCACUCAAAGAUGAUCCCGCGUUGUAUUAGCUAGUUGGUGAGGUAAAGGCUCACCAAGGCGAUGAUACAUAGCCGACCUGAGAGGGUGAUCGGCCACAUUGGGACUGAGACACGGCCCAAACUCCUACGGGAGGCAGCAGUAGGGAAUCUUCGGCAAUGGACGAAAGUCUGACCGAGCAACGCCGCGUGAGUGAAGAAGGUUUUCGGAUCGUAAAACUCUGUUGGUAGAGAAGAACGUUGGUGAGAGUGGAAAGCUCAUCAAGUGACGGUAACUACCCAGAAAGGGACGGCUAACUACGUG